AUGUGCCAAGUCUUUCUGCUCUUUUUCUAGUCCACAGCAGAGAAGCAAUACAGCAAAUUGACUGCUUGCUGCAUUCUCUCUCCUGUAGCUGUAAGAUGAUGAGCUGUUGCUACCACUGGAAGAGUGCUACUGGGUUUCUGGUGACAAAGUAAGCAGGCACUGAGGUUCCCCUGAGUCCCUUCCAGCUGCAAAUUCUCCUGGCAUGAAGCAGGGUAAUGCUGGAGAGUGAAUGUAUUUUCAGACCAUGUAUACAUGAGGGAGUUGAACGAAGAUUACUGGUGCUUCUGACUCCUCGAGCGGCCCGGCUUCUGCCUGUGCUACUUUCUUGGCUCUACCAGACAUCUGAGCUCACUGUCUGCGUGUUUACUGCAGUGAUGUACAGCCCAGUCCAGGCAUCAUUUCUGCUACACUGCGCUGUCAUUUGCCCACCAGUUACAGGAGCUGCUCUUCCAUGCCUCAAGGUACCUUGUCCAGCACCUUCAGAAAGUGUAACCUGUGUCCCAGGAAACAAUGGACCACAUUUGACACUGGGAAUAUGUGCAGCAACAUAA
RNAcentral lists this long non-coding RNA (551 nucleotides) under Cyanistes caeruleus (blue tit). Its description in RNAcentral is "lncRNA (ENSCCEG00000011824.1)". Lineage: Eukaryota; Metazoa; Chordata; Aves; Passeriformes; Paridae. The record is from RNAcentral.